GGUGCCACAGCUUAGUAGUAAAGCGCUCGCUUCUCAAACGAGUGGUCGGUGGUUCGAUUUCAACUGGUGCCU
Molecule: transfer RNA, 72 nt
Filed under: Plasmopara halstedii
Lineage: Eukaryota; Oomycota; Peronosporomycetes; Peronosporales; Peronosporaceae
Rfam family: tRNA
About the family: Transfer RNA (tRNA) molecules are approximately 80 nucleotides in length. Their secondary structure includes four short double-helical elements and three loops (D, anti-codon, and T loops).
Source: Rfam by way of RNAcentral